AACGCUAGCUACAGGCUUAACACAUGCAAGUCGAGGGGCAGCAUGGUCUUAGCUUGCUAAGGCCGAUGGCGACCGGCGCACGGGUGAGUAACACGUAUCCAACCUGCCGUCUACUCUUGGACAGCCUUCUGAAAGGAAGAUUAAUACAAGAUGGCAUCAUGAGUCCACAUGUUCACAUGAUUAAAGGUAUUCCGGUAGACGAUGGGGAUGCGUUCCAUUAGAUAGUAGGCGAGGUAACGGCCCACCUAGUCUUCGAUGGAUAGGGGUUCUGAGAGGAAGGUCCCCCACAUUGGAACUGAGACACGGUCCAAACUCCUACGGGAGGCAGCAGUGAGGAAUAUUGGUCAAUGGGCGAGAGCCUGAACCAGCCAAGUAGCGUGAAGGAUGACUGCCCUAUGGGUUGUAAACUUCUUUUAUAAAGGAAUAAAGUCGGGUAUGGAUACCCGUUUGCAUGUACUUUAUGAAUAAGGAUCGGCUAACUCCGUGCCAGCAGCCGCGGUAAUACGGAGGAUCCGAGCGUUAUCCGGAUUUAUUGGGUUUAAAGGGAGCGUAGAUGGAUGUUUAAGUCAGUUGUGAAAGUUUGCGGCUCAACCGUAAAAUUGCAGUUGAUACUGGAUAUCUUGAGUGCAGUUGAGGCAGGCGGAAUUCGUGGUGUAGCGGUGAAAUGCUUAGAUAUCACGAAGAACUCCGAUUGA
RNAcentral lists this ribosomal RNA (695 nucleotides) under uncultured Bacteroides sp. Its description in RNAcentral is "bacterial SSU rRNA". It matches the Rfam family "Bacterial small subunit ribosomal RNA", at positions 32 to 716 of the family's 1533-position model. Lineage: Bacteria; Pseudomonadati; Bacteroidota; Bacteroidia; Bacteroidales; Bacteroidaceae. The record is from RNAcentral.